This 110-nucleotide ribosomal RNA is filed under the name Alphaproteobacteria bacterium. Lineage: Bacteria; Pseudomonadati; Pseudomonadota; Alphaproteobacteria. The record is from RNAcentral.
AGGUGGUUAUGGCGCAGAUGCCCCACCCGAUUCCAUCCCGAACUCGGCCGUGAAAAUCUCUGGCGCUGAUGGUACUUUGUCUUAAGGCACGGGAGGCUAAGUCGCUGCCU